UACGGAGGGUGCAAGCGUUGUCCGGAUUCAUUGGGUUUAAAGGGUGCGCAGGCGGGACAUUAAGUCAGGGGUGAAAGACGGUUGCUCAACAAUCGCAGUGCCUUUGAUACUGGUGUUCUUGGGUGACCUUGAGGUAGGCGGAAUGGGUGGUGUAGCGGUGAAAUGCAUAGAUACCACCCAGAACUCCGAUUGCGGAGGCAGCCUACUGGAGGUUUACCGACGCUCAGGCACGAAAGCGUGGGGAUCAAACAGG
RNAcentral lists this ribosomal RNA (253 nucleotides) under uncultured bacterium. Its description in RNAcentral is "partial 16S ribosomal RNA". It matches the Rfam family "Bacterial small subunit ribosomal RNA", at positions 524 to 776 of the family's 1533-position model. The record is from RNAcentral.